CUUAAAUAAUAACAAGUUUCUUCUCAUGAGAGAUACGAUUUUGUUUACCAUUUUUGAAGAAAACAAAGGACUAUGAUAGUUUUAUUCAUCAUGAGAAGCUUAUGUUACAGUAGGACAUCUAUAUACAAGGCAGAGAUGUCAUUGAUGGGAAAGAUGCUAACUAUCAAUCUCCUAUAAUCUUGGUAUAUCAAAAUCUAUCUACACUAAUAAUUAUCCUGUCAAUUGUUUACAUAACAGUAGUAAUAUGAAUUGGAAACAAUGUAGUGAUCACAAGCAAGAAUAUGUGAGAUAAUAUAGGAUCCACUGCAACUUUCCUGGCGGAUGCAAUACUAUAGGAACUGCAGUACCGUAUGAGAUAAUGUAGGAGACAAUAUAGCAUUUUACCCUUCAAUAAUUUUCAUGACAAUGAUUUUCGAGAAUUCUCUUUGCUUCAAAGAUUAAGCGUUGUACCAUGUCAGAAGAUCAUCAGUGCUCCUGAUACUAUACGAGAAUUGCAUUCUUUUGUGGAAUUAGAAGUUGUUGGGUGCUAGAGUUUGACUUAUUUUCCAGAGGAUUGCUUAUGUGGCCGCACCCGAUUGAAAUCAUUACGAAUCAGUGAUUUCUCGUAGGAGCUGGAGGUUUUCCUGAAGAAGCUCUAAAUUUGAAUGUUGGAUCUCUUGAAAAACUAUGGAUGGGAUAAACUGAAGAGUUUACCGCAUCAACUUCAACACCUAACUUCCCUUAUAUUUGUUAUUGUGAGAAUGUAAAGUACCUACCUAGUUAAACUGCCAUGCAAGGACUCUCCAGAUUAUAUUAUCUGUAUACUUCUGAUCAUUUCUUGAGGAAAAUGGUCGCAGGUACAAUGGCGUUGAGCACCUUAAGAUCUUUCGAUCCGAAGUGUCCACAUAGAUUUCAACGGAAGGAACGAAUUCAGCUUUUCAGAUUAAACUUGAUUUCAGCAGCUCAUUUUCUCAUGCUAUUUUCAUUGCUCAGUCAUGAAUUUGAGCAACAUACAAGAACAGACGUACAAGUCUGGCAAUUACAAACAAGCAUUAGAGCAUAACAAUGUUGUUUAUCUAUGUGAGAAGUCUGCACCGCACCUGCUGAUCGUAUUUUUCUUCUUUUGGGAUUCUGUUUACUAUCAUGUUUGUCUUGUUAUUGUUUGGUUCUAAACACUAUUUCAGUUGUCUGGCCAAAUUAUAAAUUGCAUAAUAUAAAGCCUUUAUAUAUAUAAA
Long non-coding RNA from Populus nigra (black poplar), 1214 nucleotides. RefSeq lists it as uncharacterized. The record is from RefSeq and is a predicted model, not a curated record. The transcript has 3 exons. Lineage: Eukaryota; Viridiplantae; Streptophyta; Magnoliopsida; Malpighiales; Salicaceae.